This 492-nucleotide ribosomal RNA is filed under the name uncultured bacterium. Its description in RNAcentral is "partial 16S ribosomal RNA". It matches the Rfam family "Bacterial small subunit ribosomal RNA", at positions 29 to 507 of the family's 1533-position model. The record is from RNAcentral.
AGUGAACGCUGGCGGUAGGCCUAACACAUGCAAGUCGAACGGCAGCACAGUAAGAGCUUGCUCUUACGGGUGGCGAGUGGCGGACGGGUGAGGAAUACAUCGGAAUCUACUUUUUCGUGGGGGAUAACGUAGGGAAACUUACGCUAAUACCGCAUACGACCUACGGGUGAAAGCAGGGGAUCUUCGGACCUUGCGCGAUUGAAUGAGCCGAUGUCGGAUUAGCUAGUUGGCGGGGCAAAGGCCCACCAAGGCUACGAUCCGUAGCUGGUCUGAGUGGAUGAUCAGCCACACUGGAACGGAGACACGGUCCAGACUCCUACGGGAGGCAGCAGUGGGGAAUAUUGGACAAUGGGCGCAAGCCUGAUCCAGCCAUACCGAGUGGGUGAAGAAGGCCUUCGGGUUGUAAAGCCCUUUUGUUGGGAAAGAAAAGCAGCAGGUUAAUACCCCGCUGUUCUGACGGUACCCAAAGAAUAAGCACCGGCUAACUUCGUG